GUGCCAGCAGCCGCGGUAAGACGUAGGGGGCGAGCGUUGUCCGGAUUCAUUGGGCGUAAAGAGCGCGCAGGCGGCUUGGUAAGUCGGAUGUGAAAAUCCGGGGCUCAACCCCGGACCUGCAUCCGAAACUGCCCGGCUAGAGGUAGGCAGGGGAGAUCGGAAUUCCUGGUGUAGCGGUGAAAUGCGCAGAUAUCAGGAGGAACACCGGUGGCGAAGGCGGAUCUCUGGGCCUUACCUGACGCUCAGGCGCGAAAGCUAGGGGAGCGAACAGGAUUAGAUACCCUUGUAGUCC
RNAcentral lists this ribosomal RNA (292 nucleotides) under uncultured bacterium. RNAcentral's name for it is "partial 16S ribosomal RNA". It matches the Rfam family "Bacterial small subunit ribosomal RNA", at positions 505 to 796 of the family's 1533-position model. The record is from RNAcentral.